CUCGGACAGAUCGCGUGCAUCAUGCCACACCGAGUCGCACGCUAUGCACGGGGCACCGUCGGUGCGGUGCCAACAAUGGCGACCGAUGCGCCCGUCGCCAAAGAUACACGCGCUCUGGGCGACGGCCGGUUCCGCCUGGUGCACUUCCAAGAGCGAGUCCAUGCAUUCGCCCGCGGCGAUCUUUUCCGCGCCGGCGGCCAGCACAAAGUUGUGGGCGUCAAGGUCGUCGUCAUCGCCACGGAAGAGAUCGUCGUGCUUGCGCGCGUAGGCGGCCUGUGAGUCGGCCAGACGCGAGCCAAGAGUGUGCAGAUACCUGCAGACAAAGGCUAUGGCCUGACCCCGGUCGCCGUCGACUCCAACACUCGUGGCGAUCCAGUGGCGCGACGGCGGACCCGGCCAUUCGGUGACGCAUACGAGGCGCGCGAGGUCCUGUUGUGCAUGCGGCCCGAUCGAAAAGAGGGUCCCAGAGAGGAUGCGCCCAUGGCUCAGCACAUCUUCAUAGUCGUCGGCGAGGCCCCUCGCAAGGAUGGCCCGCUUGGUGGCCGCGAGACCCACCGUGCGCCAUGCCGCAGCGACACACAGGGCCACUUCGCACGCGAUGAUCAUGCCGUGCUGACGCUCGCCGCCGCCGCGGCGCGCACCCGAUGUCGGCACCGUCGUGGGCAUGAACGGACUGGUCGAGGCCAAGGACGACCCGGCAAGCGGCAUUGCUGCCGCGGCCUUGAUGAGAGUGCCCAUUGUGACGCCGCCCGAUGACGACGGCAACGUAUGCGAGCGUGGUCGUGGCGGCGGCGACAUUGGACUCAGCGGCCAUACUAUUGCGGCUGGCGGGAUGGCCUCGCCGUCAGCCGGCAGCGCGCGCUCCUCCCGAUGCCGGCACUUGUUAACCUCGGCAGCGAGAUCGCGUAUGCAGAAUGCAACAUCAGGGAGAUCAUGCGCGUCGCGCCACACCGCGUCACACACUGCACAGUGGUCGUGGUCGGUCGGGUGCGAGCAGUGGCGCGCGAUGCGCCCAUCGCCGAUGACGCGCGCGCUCGAUGCAAUCUCGCAAGUUGUCUGGCUUGGCGCCAGGAGGCAGGCCACACGCGCGUACGUUGCUAUGCGAAUGACGACGUCGCAUGCGUCGUCACCAGGCGCACGCUCCCCGACCUGUCGGACUAAAAAGCAGCAGUGGUCAAUGGCGCGUGCGUACUCGCGCAUGCGCAGUGCGCUGGCGCUGGCAUCGUAGUCAGCGGAUCCGAUCCUUACGGUGGCCCAGCGGCAUGAUGGCGGGCCGGGCCAUUCGACGACGCACACGAGGCGCUCAAGAUCGUUUUUUCGGUGUACACCGCCAAAGGAUGCGGCCGACAGAAUGCGUCCUUUCGUGAGCAUGUCUUUUGAAUCGACGCCCGGAAGAUUGACCGCGUGGGCCGCCGCGGCUGCGGCCGCGAGCGCCACGGUGUGCCACACGGGCAUAAGGCACAGCGGAAUCUCGCACGCGAUGCGCGUCCCUUGGACGCUAUGGGCGGGACUGCCGCCGACUUGCACGCCCGUUGUCGACACUCUUUUGGGCGUGCCGACAGAGGCGCAUAGUUCUGCAAUGCCCAGUUCGCCUCUAGGCGUCUCGCCCUCGCAUGGUGCCCCCAUUAUCGACCCCACAUGGUUCUCCAUUUCCACUUGCAGGCGACCUAUCCAAACCUCACUGCCAGAGCGGCUCUCACAAGAGACUUGUGCCGCCACUUUUGCAUGCGAGCCGACGUACGAUGGGCGGCCCUUUUUUCGCUUCCUGCUGUGCGUAAUUGAAUCC
RNAcentral lists this long non-coding RNA (1786 nucleotides) under Pandoravirus celtis. RNAcentral's name for it is "hypothetical ncRNA". The record is from RNAcentral.